GGCCGACUAGCUCAGCUGGUUAGAGCGUCGUGCUAAUAAUAGAUGAUUAAUAACGCGAAGGUCUUGGGUUCGAUCCCCACGUUGGCCA
Hymenopellis radicata is the source of this 88-nucleotide non-coding RNA. The record is from the annotation of a GenBank genome assembly. NCBI's taxonomy places the organism in Eukaryota, Fungi, Basidiomycota, Agaricomycetes, Agaricales, Physalacriaceae.